This is a long non-coding RNA of Sander lucioperca (pikeperch), 1410 nucleotides long. RefSeq lists it as uncharacterized. The transcript is spliced from 3 exons. NCBI's taxonomy places the organism in Eukaryota, Metazoa, Chordata, Actinopteri, Perciformes, Percidae. The record is from RefSeq and is a predicted model, not a curated record.
AAGAACAGAAUAUGAAAACUAAUUUAACUGAGUGAAAAAAGUGUGUGUGGGAAGGCAAGCCAGAAAAGAAGAAUAGAGGCUGCACAAUAAAUGGGCGUGGAAGUUUCACACCGAGUUUCAGUCCAAGCUCUCAGUUCCGUCAUUCAACAACUUAUAUGGCACAGGGAGAGGUCGAGCCUCAGAGCUGUUUGUCUUUUGAACUUCCACUACGACAGCCGUGGUGUUUGGAUGACCACGUGUGGAGAUCCUAACUGAACCUUCAUAUGUAAAAGGAAGAAGCUUCAUGUGGCAGCUCUCACCUUGAGAGUGGAAUUUUGUUGAGGGGACAAGAAGACAAUACACCUGCCUGCCAUCUCAUUAAGACCUUAAUAUCACUCUGAACCACACACUGGACAAACUAAGAGAUUCCUUGUUUCACUGAAGGAGUGUAUCCAGACUGAGGAGCCUUUUAAAUUUGAUCAGAAAUGUCUACAUCACAUCAGAUACAUAUAAAUGUGGGUGAAGAUGUCCCACUGAGUACCAUCCCAGGGUCAAGCAACGCACAAAAAAAUCAAUUAACAAGACAGGGUGCUGCCCCCUGCUGUGGUGACAAAAACCACAGGAAACUUGCCAUCUGCAGCAUUAUCUGUGGGAUCUCGUGCAUCGGAAUCAAGGCUCUGAUAAAUUCAGUCAAGGCUGAGACGACGACAGAUCCAGAGAAAGCUGCAACGUUUUCAAAACGGGCAAAGAAAUUUGGAAUUAUCUCCAUUGUUAUUUGGGUUGCCAUUCUGGCUUUAACUCCCAUACUGAUGGCACUGAUCUCAUAUCUCUUCACUCUGCGAGACUGAUCAACUUUAAUAAACCCCUACAGAAGACAACCAAAGGAGAGACUUUUGGAUGUUUAUGGAGACAGACAGCGGACGGUACAAAGCUGCGUAUCAACUACUAAAAGCCAUAAAGAUGUGAAGAAUAUGGUUGUUACACAAAACACAAAAAGACUGCUUUAGUCUUGUGCUGAUAAAAUGACUGCUGUCCCUGCUUCCACUUUUCUACUUAACCAUUUAUAAUAGUUUUAUACAAGGAACAACCACUCGAGAAAACUAUCAAAAACGUUACAACUUUUACAUGUUUUUAUAUGCUGUAAUAUUUAUUUAACAAUAUAUGAACAUUUAAAAUCUAAACAACCAUAUAAAAUCCAGCAUUAACUAUAGUUUGAGACAUGACACUAUACAUUAUAUAUUAAAGAUCAGAAUUGUCAUUCCCCAGUAAUGACCCAAUCCUUAAUAUUGUUGCACCUUAAAUGCCAUUACAAUUUAACAUACUUAUUCUUAGAUACUGUAUAUACUUCAGAUACUACAAAAGCUAAUAAAUUACCUAAUCUGUAAAUCCAAAAAGUAGCAACAUAAACAUCAAAGAUUGGGUUUCUACUGG